UCGUAACAAGGUUUCCGUAGGUGAACCUGCGGAAGGAUCAUUAGUGAAUUAAACAUGCUUGGUGUCUUCGCUUCGGCAAGGCCCUUGCUUAAAUCACAUCCUAACACCUGUGAACUGUAAGACGUAUGAUGAGGUCUUUGGCCAAGUCAUCGUCUGCCCAUUUUUAACAAACAAUUAAUGUAACAAACGUAGUCUUAUUAUAACCUAAUAAAACUUUCAACAACGGAUCUCUUGGCUCUCGCAUCGAUGAAGAACGCAGCGAAAUGCGAUAAGUAAUGUGAAUUGCAGAAUUCAGUGAAUCAUCGAAUCUUUGAACGCACCUUGCGCUCUUUGGUAUUCCGAAGAGCAUGCCUGUUUGAGUGUCAUGAAAAUAUCAACCUUGACUUGGGUUUUGUGCUCUAGUCUUGGCUUGGAAUUGGGUGCUUGCCGCUUUUACGAGCGGCUCACCUUAAAUGUAUUAGCUGGAUCUGUCUUUGAGACUUGGUUUGACUUGGCGUAAUAAGUAUUUCGCUAAGGACAUUCUUCGGAGUGGCCUCGUUUCUAGGACGCUUGUCCGCUUCCCAAUACAAGUUCCACCUCGUGGACAUGACUUUUUUAUUAUCUGGCCUCNAAUCAGGUAGGACUACCCGCUGAANUUA
RNAcentral lists this ribosomal RNA (638 nucleotides) under uncultured fungus. RNAcentral's name for it is "eukaryotic LSU rRNA". The stretch from base 212 to 365 matches the Rfam family "5.8S ribosomal RNA". Lineage: Eukaryota; Fungi. The record is from RNAcentral.